RNAcentral lists this ribosomal RNA (274 nucleotides) under uncultured bacterium. Its description in RNAcentral is "partial 16S ribosomal RNA". It matches the Rfam family "Bacterial small subunit ribosomal RNA", at positions 523 to 796 of the family's 1533-position model. The record is from RNAcentral.
AGACGGAGGUGGCAAACGUUGCUCGGAAUCACUGGGCUUAAAGGGCGUGUAGGCGGCCGAUUAAGUCGGGUGUGAAAUCCCUCGGCUCAACCGAGGAACUGCAUUCGAUACUGGUCGGCUAGAGUGCGAGAGGGGCAAGUGGAACUCCAGGUGUAGCGGUGAAAUGCGUAGAUAUCUGGAGGAACGCCGGUGGCGAAAGCGACUUGCUGGCUCGCAACUGACGCUGAGGCGCGAAAGCUAGGGUAGCGAACGGGAUUAGAAACCCGGGUAGUCC